This 3761-nucleotide long non-coding RNA is filed under the name Sus scrofa (pig). RNAcentral's name for it is "lncRNA (ENSSSCG00050057279.1)". The record is from RNAcentral. Lineage: Eukaryota; Metazoa; Chordata; Mammalia; Artiodactyla; Suidae.
GAAUAGCAGUAGCCUUCUACCAGGAUAUUAAAAAUCUUGCACUUGAGUCUUUUCUUGACAGUAAUAUACCUCUGGACAUUAAUCUCUGCCUGGGUCAGUUUUAGAGGGUGUUUAUUUAGAUCCAAGUAAGCCCAUUCUCCUGUGAAAUAAAAAAAAGGCAAUUUGGUACUUAAUUUCUUCUUUAUUUUUUGUGGAUACACCAUAGAGUUUCUCACAAAUUAGACUGUUAUUAUAAAGACAUGAAUCUGCUAACAUAUCUUAAACCAUAAAGAUUAUAAAGUAAGUCAAGGAUAUAUGUAAACAAAGCCAAAAUCCAAUCUGGCCAGAAGAAGCAAAAAAAGAAAAACAGAAACCAUUCAGCAGAAGCAAACAGAAUUACCAGCUGCCAAGCAGGGCUUUUCCAGGAGAGAAAAGUUCAGUCAAUUGGAAACAGAUCAAUAACCUAAUAAAUGCAGUUCAGGAAAAGAUAACGGCAUCAGCAUCAACAAAAUCUACCAUAAUUGAGUAGUUUAAGACAUCUGAGACCAAACGCUUUUUGUCAUAAAUAAAUUUGUCUUCAUUAAAUUAUAUUUAAUCUAAGUAUAACUUUCUAAAUGAAUUACAUUGUACAGUGCUACAUUUUCCAUUUGCCUUUGAGCCUGGCUCUCUGGGGUAUCCAGUGGAAACAUAUGCAUGGGUCUUGCUGCAUCCUCGGGCUUAGUGGGGAGGACUUCUCCUUGAAUGGCUCACGGUGAUGAGCCAAAGGCUAGAACUUAAACCCUGAUGGAUAAAGAUGUGACACUGGACCACCAUGUACCUGUUAGAGUCAUUUGAAGACUAGGCUAAUUCGUACCUGGACCUCUUUCUCAUUCCAGAAUUUGGUUUUAUCAGUGUUUUGAUUACAACCAAAGUCAACAAGGUCAUUUACAUGGACAAUGGCUGCUAAGAUUCUUGUAUGUAACAAAUAUUUUUAUCUGUGGCAUGUGGCCUACGCACAUUCACAGAAGAAAAAUACUGACAAAAAAUAUAUAUAUUGGCAUUCAAUCAGAAUAUGACACAAGUAAUGUGUAAUUAAAAUGUAAAAAUAAAUUUUUUUCCCAGUUAUUAUUUAAAAUAGACCAUUUUAAAUAAUAGCUGGAGUGGAGUUCCCAUCGUGGCUCAGCUGAAAUGAAUCUGACUGGCAACCAUGAGGAUACAGGUUCGAUCUCUGGCCAUGCUCCAGUGGGUUAAUGACCUGGCGUCGCUGUGAGCUGUGGUGUAGGUCACAGACUCGGCUAGGAUCCCAUGUGCUGUGGCUGUGGUGUAGGCCCGCAGCUACAGCUCCGAUUUGACCUCUGGCCUGGGAACAUCCAUAUGCCACGAGUAUGGACCUAAAAAGACAAAAAUAAAAUAAAAUAGGCUAUUGUUUAUUUAAAUGUAGUAUAAUGUAUGUUUUUAUGAAUGCUAUUUGUAUACAAAAAAUAAAUUUUAUAAAGUCUUUUGCUGCCUGUGAGAGAGAAGUUUGGGGGCUAAAAAAAGUAUACUGUUUUGGUUGUAGCACUGGUGCUUUUGAUAGGAAAAAAAAAAGCAUUUUUAAAACCAAAAAUGAGCUAUUUCCAUUGUGAUGAAUUUUACAUUAUUCAGCAGUUGUGUAUUGAAUUCACAGCUUAUCUAAUUCCUUUAUUUUCCUCUCCUUUUAAAAACUGGCCUUCAUUUUAGUCACUCCAUCAGAUAAAAUAUAAAGAUUAACAAAGAAUGAACUAACUGUGAUGGCUAAAUGAAAAGAUAUUGUUUGAAAUACCUGUGGUAACCCAUUCUGGCCUUGUCUUCUCAUUUGUUCACUUCCAACCCUGGGAGUCAUUACAUUUUAAUGAUGCGCUGAACUUCUGUGUAGCCUCUCAGCGGUUUUGGUCUAGUAUGGUGUGGCAGACCCGUUUUAACUGAGAGUGUUCUGUCCCAAUUAACUGCAAACAACUCUGACAAGUUACUCUUCAGCCAGUACAUUUUCAAAAACUAUUUCUUCAGUCCAGGAGAAACUAAAUUUGCAAUUGUCCUUAAGGUAGAGGAAAGGUAUUUGAAGGUCUUGAUACAACUGCUAAUUCCUUCUGGGAAACCUAUUAGCUGUAGUUGCAGCAACACCAUCUAUUAUUAAUCUUCUUGCUGAAUUAUUACAGUAUUUCUGAGGAAAACGGAUUAAUUUGUGAAAUCUGACAGGUUCUCUUGAUUUAAAUGGUAGGUGGCUCUGUUAAGCACUAGGAAGUCCUUUAGUUAUGUAAAUCCUUAAUAAUACAGGCCUGAACUGUGGAAACUGAGAGAUGUCCCCGAGGGACACAGUGGAUUCUGGCAGGUGGAAGGGUGUGAGGAAUGCUGUCUGUUUGUGAUGGUUUGAAUGUGUCCAGGUUGCAAUCAGAGGAAUGGGCUAAGUGACUUUAGAGGUUCCUUCUGGACCAAAGAGUGUUUCCUAUAAUUAACUGUUAUUUGCUGCUCAGUAACAGCAAUUUCAGUCUAUCUAUCUAUCUAUCUAUCUAUCUAUCUAUCUAUCUAUCUAUCUAUCUAUCUAUCUAUCUAUCUAUCUAUUUUAGGGCUGCACCCUCGGCAUAUGCAUGUUCCCAGGCUAGGGGUCAAAUUGGAGCUACAGCUGCCCGUCUACACCACAGCCACAGCAAUGCCAGAUCCGAGCCAUGUCUGCGACCUACACCACAGCUCAGAGCAAUGCCAGAUCCUUAACCUACUGAGCAAGGGCAGGGACUGAACCCUCAACCUCAUGGUUCCUAGUCAGAUUUAUUUCCACUAUGCCACGACAGGAACUCCUCAGUCUCCGUAUUUAGAUUCCUAUAUGCCCCUCUGCUUCUUUUCGUAGGUAGCCCAGAUAUGAAAUAAAGCUUCUCGUGCUCCUGAUGUCUAAUUAUUUUUUUCUCAGACCUUUGCUAAAAUCAUGGUUUUGGGAGUCUAGAGCUUGCCUCAUAAUUUCUGUUCAUUUUCAGAGCUUUCAUUCAUACAGUGAAAUACCUCUAUUUUUCUGCCUCUCUUUUAUCUCACAGCAACUAAGAGUUCAAAAUUAUUUUCCUGCUUUUUUUCCAAAGGGAUUUUCACUCCUUUCCCCUCCACCAUCAAACCUACACACCUAAACUGGAAGAGAAUUACCUCUUAGGGUAACUAGUCACUUUGGCAAGGCAGCAGUUUAUUAGACAUGUUAUAUUUGAUUAUAAUACCUCUCCUUUCCCAAAUACCAGCUGUAAAAGAAUUCCCUCCUUUUUCCUUUUACGGCCUCUCUUCCUUUAAAAGUAUUUUUAAAACAUUACUCCAUGGCAUAGCAACCCAUCUGGAACUGUUUGGAGGUAGGCUGCCUCUGUUUAUUCCAGAGUCAGCUCUGGUGUCAACUCUGUAACUUCUCCUGUUACAUAGGAUGUGGUCUGGGAAAGUGGGGCCAAAGUAAAAUUCCAGCACAGAUCUGUCCAACUGAUGUUGAUAAGCCCUGCUGUUUCUACUACAUCUCUGUUAGGGGUAAAGAUGCUAAAAAGUAGCAUAUCAAGACAAAUUAGAAAUAUAGGUGAUCCAGGAGUUCCCGUCGUGGUGCAGUGGUUAACGAAUCCGACUAGGAACCAUGAGGUUGUGGGUUCGGUCCCUGCCCUUGCUCAGUGGGUUAACCAUCCGGCGUUGCCGUGAGCUGUGGUGUAGGUUGCAGACGCGGCUUGGAUCCCGCGUUGCUGUGGCUCUGGUGUAGGCCAAUGGCUACAGCUCCGAUUUGCCCCCUAUCCUGGGAACCUCCAUAUGCCGCGGAGCGGCCCAAGAAAUAGCAAAAA